CCUACGGGUGGCAGCAGUGGGGAAUAUUGGACAAUGGGGGCAACCCUGAUCCAGCCAUGCCGCGUGUGUGAAGAAGGCCCUCGGGUUGUAAAGCACUUUCAGUGAGGAAGAACGCCUGGUGGUUAAUACCCAUCAGGAAAGACAUCACUCACAGAAGAAGCACCGGCUAACUCCGUGCCAGCAGCCGCGGUAAUACGGAGGGUGCGAGCGUUAAUCGGAAUUACUGGGCGUAAAGCGCGCGUAGGUGGCUUGAUAAGCCGGUUGUGAAAGCCCCGGGCUCAACCUGGGAACGGCAUCCGGAACUGUCAAGCUAGAGUGCAGGAGAGGAAGGUAGAAUUCCCGGUGUAGCGGUGAAAUGCGUAGAGAUCGGGAGGAAUACCAGUGGCGAAGGCGGCCUUCUGGACUGACACUGACACUGAGGUGCGAAAGCGUGGGUAGCAAACAGGAUUAGAUACCAGGGUAGUC
Molecule: ribosomal RNA, 465 nt
Filed under: Vreelandella stevensii
Lineage: Bacteria; Pseudomonadati; Pseudomonadota; Gammaproteobacteria; Oceanospirillales; Halomonadaceae
Description: partial 16S ribosomal RNA
Rfam family: Bacterial small subunit ribosomal RNA
Source: RNAcentral